RNAcentral lists this ribosomal RNA (367 nucleotides) under uncultured bacterium. RNAcentral describes it as "bacterial SSU rRNA". It matches the Rfam family "Bacterial small subunit ribosomal RNA", at positions 527 to 896 of the family's 1533-position model. The record is from RNAcentral.
GGAGGGUGCAAGCGUUAUCCGGAUUCGCUGGGUUUAAAGGGUGCGUAGGUGGGCAGGUAAGUCAGUGGUGAAAUCUCCGGGCUUAACCCGGAAACUGCCAUUGAUACUAUCUGUCUUGAAUAUCGUGGAGGUGAGCGGAAUAUGUCAUGUAGCGGUGAAAUGCUUAGAUAUGACAUAGAACACCAAUUGCGAAGGCAGCUCACUACGCGAAUAUUGACACUGAGGCACGAAAGCGUGGGGAUCAAACAGGAUUAGAUACCCUGGUAGUCCACGCCCUAAACGAUGGAUACUCGACAUACGCGAUACACAGUGUGUGUCUGAGCGAAAGCAUUAAGUAUCCCACCUGGGAAGUACGACCGCAAGGUUG